GAUCAUUAACGAGUUAGGGUCUUCUCAGGCCCGACCUCCCAACCCUUUGUUUACCCGACCCAUGUUGCUUCGGCGGGCCCGCCGUUUCGACGGCCGCCGGAGGACCGCCUAUUCAGGUCCUCUGGCCCGCGCCCGCCGGUAGCCAAUUCUACCAAACUCUUGAAUCAAAUCGUGUCCAAUGUCUGAGUAUAUUACAAAAUAAAAGCAAAACUUUCAACAACGGAUCUCUUGGUUCUGGCAUCGAUGAAGAACGCAGCGAAAUGCGAUAAGUAAUGCGAAUUGCAGAAUUCCAGUGAGUCAUCGAAUCUUUGAACGCACAUUGCGCCCUUUGGUAUUCCGAAGGGCAUGCCUGUUCGAGCGUCAUUAUCACCCCUCAAGCCCCCCGGCUUGGUGUUGGACGGUCUGGUCGAGCGUUUCCGCGCGACCCCUCCCAAAGACAAUGACGGCGGCCUGGUUGGACCCCCGGUACACGGAGCUUCUUCACUGAGCACGUAUCGGUUUCAAGGUGUCCCCGGGACCCGGUCGACCUCUCUUGCUCCCCUGCGGGAGUGGGAGAGAACCCCCCUUUUUAU
Molecule: unclassified non-coding RNA, 572 nt
Filed under: Exophiala dermatitidis
Lineage: Eukaryota; Fungi; Ascomycota; Eurotiomycetes; Chaetothyriales; Herpotrichiellaceae
Description: sequence contains 18S rRNA gene, ITS1, 5.8S rRNA gene, ITS2, 28S rRNA gene
Rfam family: 5.8S ribosomal RNA (bases 209-363)
Source: RNAcentral